RNAcentral lists this small nuclear RNA (20 nucleotides) under Arabidopsis thaliana (thale cress). RNAcentral describes it as "snRNA_07214". The record is from RNAcentral. Lineage: Eukaryota; Viridiplantae; Streptophyta; Magnoliopsida; Brassicales; Brassicaceae.
UGAUGAACGCUCUUUAAUGU